AGAUAAUGAGCGGAGGGGCUGCAUGACUGGGGGAAGGAAUAGUCCCUGGAGAAGAGGUUAAAUAAAAUGGGAAUCAGUUGAUCUUACCUGAUUGGGGG
Long non-coding RNA from Nanorana parkeri, 98 nucleotides. RefSeq lists it as uncharacterized. NCBI's taxonomy places the organism in Eukaryota, Metazoa, Chordata, Amphibia, Anura, Dicroglossidae. The transcript has 4 exons. The record is from RefSeq and is a predicted model, not a curated record.